CCUUCUCAUGAAUUACACAGGCCAGUGACUAUCUCACUUUGCAGCAUUUCAAAAUCAUAAAUUUACUUAACAACAAUAAAUAAUCAAUUUUAAAUCACAUAUAUGCAUACAGAUACUGGGAGAAGUACCAGAGAGCCAUUGGGGGGCUUGGAAUCACCAUGCUGAAUCAUCCUUGGAAGAAUUAUAAGCUCUAAUUCUCAAGGCUAAUCUUCCAUUAAAACUAUCCUUGGUCUUUCUUAGGAAACUUACUGAUGGUGGAGCAAAAACAAGAAUCGAAGAAGAAGAAAAUUUAGAUACAAUAAGGGAUGUUUUCAAAGUCAAGGCAUCCAUCUGAGCUAAUCACUUUUUUCUAAUAGUGAAUUUUUCACAGGAGACAAUUAUGUUAAAUAAACCCUAAUGCUAUUUUAAAUUCUUGCCAUUCACAGAAAUCAAUUAGAG
Molecule: long non-coding RNA, 438 nt
Filed under: Manihot esculenta (cassava)
Lineage: Eukaryota; Viridiplantae; Streptophyta; Magnoliopsida; Malpighiales; Euphorbiaceae
Description: long non-coding RNA (MESC_LNC002933)
Source: RNAcentral